This 486-nucleotide ribosomal RNA is filed under the name uncultured bacterium. RNAcentral describes it as "partial 16S ribosomal RNA". It matches the Rfam family "Bacterial small subunit ribosomal RNA", at positions 30 to 507 of the family's 1533-position model. The record is from RNAcentral.
AUUGAACGCUGGCGGCAUGCCUUACACAUGCAAGUCGAACGGCAGCACGGGUGCUUGCACCUGGUGGCGAGUGGCGAACGGGUGAGUAAUACAUCGGAACAUGUCCUGUAGUGGGGGAUAGCCCGGCGAAAGCCGGAUUAAUACCGCAUACGAUCUACGGAUGAAAGCGGGGGACCUUCGGGCCUCGCGCUAUAGGGUUGGCCGAUAGCUGAUUAGCUAGUUGGUGGGGUAAAGGCCUACCAAGGCGACGAUCAGUAGCUGGUCUGAGAGGACGACCAGCCACACUGGGACUGAGACACGGCCCAGACUCCUAUGGGAGGCAGCAGUGGGGAAUUUUGGACAAUGGGCGAAAGCCUGAUCCAGCAAUGCCGCGUGUGUGAAGAAGGCCUUCGGGUUGUAAAGCACUUUUGUCCGGAAAGAAAUCCUUGGCUCUAAUACAGUCGGGGGAUGACGGUACCGGAAGAAUAAGCACCGGCUAACUACGUG